This 301-nucleotide ribosomal RNA is filed under the name uncultured bacterium. RNAcentral's name for it is "partial 16S ribosomal RNA". It matches the Rfam family "Bacterial small subunit ribosomal RNA", at positions 509 to 807 of the family's 1533-position model. The record is from RNAcentral.
CAGUAGCCGCGGUAAAACGGAGGGGGCUAGCGUUGUUCGGAAUUACUGGGCGUAAAGCGCACGUAGGCUGCUUUGUAAGUCAGAGGUGAAAGCCCGGGGCUCAACCCCGGAUGUGCCUUUGAGACUGCAGAGCUAGAAUCGCGGAGAGGUGAGUGGAAUUCCGAGUGUAGAGGUGAAAUUCGUAGAUAUUCGGAAGAACACCAGUGGCGAAGGCGGCUCACUGGACGACUGUUGACGCUGAGGUGCGAAAGCGUGGGGAGCAAACAGGAUUAGAUACCCCCGUAGUCCCUGUCUCUUAUAC